UGGCUCAAUGGUAGAGCCUUUGCUUAGUAUGCAUGAGGCUCUAGGUUCAAUUCCCAG
This 57-nucleotide transfer RNA is filed under the name Heterocephalus glaber (naked mole-rat). It matches the Rfam family "tRNA", at positions 8 to 63 of the family's 71-position model. Rfam says of the family: Transfer RNA (tRNA) molecules are approximately 80 nucleotides in length. The record is from Rfam by way of RNAcentral. Lineage: Eukaryota; Metazoa; Chordata; Mammalia; Rodentia; Bathyergidae.